RNAcentral lists this ribosomal RNA (552 nucleotides) under Penicillium sp. M1135. RNAcentral's name for it is "eukaryotic LSU rRNA". The stretch from base 194 to 346 matches the Rfam family "5.8S ribosomal RNA". Lineage: Eukaryota; Fungi; Ascomycota; Eurotiomycetes; Eurotiales; Aspergillaceae. The record is from RNAcentral.
GNARUAAAGGAUCAUUACCGAGUGAGGGCCCUCUGGGUCCAACCUCCCACCCGUGUUUAUUUUACCUUGUUGCUUCGGCGGGCCCGCCUUAACUGGCCGCCGGGGGGCUUACGCCCCCGGGCCCGCGCCCGCCGAAGACACCCUCGAACUCUGUCUGAAGAUUGUAGUCUGAGUGAAAAUAUAAAUUAUUUAAAACUUUCAACAACGGAUCUCUUGGUUCCGGCAUCGAUGAAGAACGCAGCGAAAUGCGAUACGUAAUGUGAAUUGCAAAUUCAGUGAAUCAUCGAGUCUUUGAACGCACAUUGCGCCCCCUGGUAUUCCGGGGGGCAUGCCUGUCCGAGCGUCAUUGCUGCCCUCAAGCACGGCUUGUGUGUUGGGCCCCGUCCUCCGAUCCCGGGGGACGGGCCCGAAAGGCAGCGGCGGCACCGCGUCCGGUCCUCGAGCGUAUGGGGCUUUGUCACCCGCUCUGUAGGCCCGGCCGGCGCUUGCCGAUCAACCCAAAUUUUUAUCCAGGUUGACCUCGGAUCAGGUAGGGAUACCCGCUGAACUUAA